AAGUCGUAACAAGGUUUCCGUAGGUGAACCUGCGGAAGGAUCAUUAAUGAAAUUGGGGUUUCUGUGCCGCCUUUCACGAGGAUUGUGCACGCUACCCCUUAAUCCUUUUAACACCUGUGCACAUUGAGAGAAUUGUCAAGUGGCUUAAUUGCUGCGAGACGAAUCUCUAUUAUAAACUCAUAGUCAAACGAAUGUUCAUUGGCCGAAAGGCUCUAAAUAAAACAACUUUUAACAACGGAUCUCUUGGCUCUC
Molecule: unclassified non-coding RNA, 252 nt
Filed under: air metagenome
Description: partial contains small subunit ribosomal RNA, internal transcribed spacer 1, and 5.8S ribosomal RNA
Rfam family: Eukaryotic small subunit ribosomal RNA (bases 1-46)
Source: RNAcentral